RNAcentral lists this unclassified non-coding RNA (347 nucleotides) under soil metagenome. Its description in RNAcentral is "partial contains 5.8S ribosomal RNA, internal transcribed spacer 2, and large subunit ribosomal RNA". The stretch from base 1 to 120 matches the Rfam family "5.8S ribosomal RNA", at positions 35 to 154 of the family's 154-position model. The record is from RNAcentral.
GAUGAAGAACGUAGCGAAAUGCGAUAAGUAGUGUGAAUUGCAGAAUUCAGUGAAUCAUCGAGUCUUUGAACGCACAUUGCGCCCCCUGGUAUUCCGGGGGGCAUGCCUGUCCGAGCGUCAUUGCUGCCCUCAAGCACGGCUUGUGUGUUGGGCCCCCGUCCCCCCCUCCCGGGGGACGGGCCCGAAAGGCAGCGGCGGCACCGCGUCCGGUCCUCGAGCGUAUGGGGCUUUGUCACCCGCUCUGUAGGCCCGGCCGGCGCCUGCCGACCACCAUCAAUCUUUUUUCAGGUUGACCUCGGAUCAGGUAGGGAUACCCGCUGAACUUAAGCAUAUCAAUAAGCGGAGGA